RNAcentral lists this ribosomal RNA (453 nucleotides) under uncultured bacterium. RNAcentral's name for it is "bacterial SSU rRNA". It matches the Rfam family "Bacterial small subunit ribosomal RNA", at positions 340 to 786 of the family's 1533-position model. The record is from RNAcentral.
UACGGAAGGCAGCAGUGGGGAAUAUUGCACAAUGGGCGCAAGCCUGAUGCAGCCAUGCCGCGUGUAUGAAGAAGGCCUUCGGGUUGUAAAGUACUUUCAGUCGUGAGGAAGGUGUUAAGGUUAAUAACCUUAGCAAUUGACGUUAGCGACAGAAGAAGCACCGGCUAACUCCGUGCCAGCAGCCGCGGUAAUACGGAGGGUGCGAGCGUUAAUCGGAAUUACUGGGCGUAAAGGGCACGCAGGCGGUUAAUUAAGUUGGAUGUGAAAUCCCCGGGCUUAACCUGGGAAUGGCAUUCAAGACUGGUUAGCUAGAGUCUUGUAGAGGGGGUAGAAUUCCAUGUGUAGCGGUGAAAUGCGUAGAGAUGUGGAGGAAUACCGGUGGCGAAGGCGGCCCCUGGACAAGGACUGACGCUCAUGUGCGAAAGCGUGGGGAGCGAACAGGGAUUAGAUACC